Trichosurus vulpecula (common brushtail) is the source of this 103-nucleotide small nuclear RNA. The record is from RefSeq and is a predicted model, not a curated record. NCBI's taxonomy places the organism in Eukaryota, Metazoa, Chordata, Mammalia, Diprotodontia, Phalangeridae.
GGGUUUCAUAUAGCCCAUUUAUUAAAUUUGCAAUAAUAAAGAGAAAAUGUACAUGAUCCCUGGAUAAUGAAACGUGCAAAUAUAUGAAGCAUUCCAAAUUUUA